CCCUUAGAUGUCCUGGGCCGCACGCGCGCUACACUGAGUGUCUGAGAUACGAGUCUGCCUAGCCGGCGAGGUCUAGGUAAUCGCUGAAAGACACAUCAUGCUUGGGAUAGAUUAUUGCAGAUAUUAAUCUUGAACGAGGAAUUCCUAGUAAGCGUGAUUCAUCAGCUUGCGCUGACUACGUCCCUGCCCCUUGUACACACCGCCCGUCGCUGCCCGGAACUGAGCCGUUUCGAGAAAGCUGGGGACUGACGGCUUGUGGGUGCGCAAGCACUUCUUGCCGAUGGAAACCAGUUUAAUCGGUAUGGCUUGAACCGGGCAAAAGUCGUAACA
This 330-nucleotide ribosomal RNA is filed under the name uncultured eukaryote. RNAcentral's name for it is "partial 18S ribosomal RNA". It matches the Rfam family "Eukaryotic small subunit ribosomal RNA", at positions 1470 to 1796 of the family's 1831-position model. The record is from RNAcentral.